RNAcentral lists this ribosomal RNA (296 nucleotides) under uncultured bacterium. RNAcentral's name for it is "partial 16S ribosomal RNA". It matches the Rfam family "Bacterial small subunit ribosomal RNA", at positions 790 to 1084 of the family's 1533-position model. The record is from RNAcentral.
GUAGUCCACGCCGUAAACGAUGGAUGCUAGCUGUUGGAGGUAUCGACCCCUUCAGUAGCGAAGCUAACGCGUUAAGCAUCCCGCCUGUGGAGUACGGCCGCAAGGCUAAAACAUAAAGGAAUUGACGGGGAGAAGCACAAGCGGUGGAGCAUGUUCUUUAAUUCGAUGGUAAACGAAGAACCUUACCAGGGCUUGACAUCCUUAGAAUUACUACGAAAGUAGUGAGUGCUUUAUUGAACUAAGUGACAGGUGUUGCAUGGCCGUCGUCAGCUCGUGUCGUGAGAUGUUUGGUUAAG